Hibiscus syriacus is the source of this 1221-nucleotide long non-coding RNA. RefSeq lists it as uncharacterized. The transcript is spliced from 5 exons. NCBI's taxonomy places the organism in Eukaryota, Viridiplantae, Streptophyta, Magnoliopsida, Malvales, Malvaceae. The record is from RefSeq and is a predicted model, not a curated record.
UCAACCGUAACUCCCCCUGAUUCACUUGUUUCUCAGAAUUCAUUUCCAUCUACUGGGAUUUCCAUUUCUUCCAUUUUCGAUGCUUCAUUUGCAAUUCACUUGUAACUUUUAGUUCAUUUCCAUAUUCUGUUUCGCAGCACCAGAACCACUCUAGUAUCCACGAUUGCAUCUUCUUUUUCCGAUUCCGAAGUCGGAAUCAUUUCAAGCAGGGUAACGCUACUUCAUCUGAAAUUACUGAAAUUGAUGAUAAUGAAACAACCUCAACACCAGGAGACGAUAAAUUGAUUCGGAGAACAACAAGUAUUCGGAUAUCUUUGUAUUACUGGAGUAGCAAAUAUCUCCUUACUCUUCUGUUGAUAAGUCUUAGAUUUGGCAAAAGCUUCAGCACUACUCUCAGUUCCCUGAUUUCAACAACCAUCGUUUUUAUACUUGCUCGAGCCGAGGGAAAUUCAGGAGAGAUUCGACAAGCAGCUGGUCUGCUGCUGAAAAAUAAUCUCAGAAUUGCAUAUAAGUAACUGGAUUAUGGGUAUUGAAUUUUUCAAUAUAAGUCAGAUUGUUGCAUCAUUAGCUGUUCUAGCAGUUUCCAGGAAUGAGAAGCCACAAGCUCCAUUGUUCACUUGGAUUGUGGGUUACGUCGCAGGGUGUGCUUUUAGUAUUCCUAUCCUUUUCCAGCAUUGUUUUCUCCCGUAUCCUACGAGGGUCAUGAUGAUGUUAUAUAUUGAUGGAAUACCGAUCUUGAAUCUCGGUGAUGAAAUGGCUAAAAGAGGGAUAAAUCCUGGUGGUAAGAUGGCAGCAGCAUCAAAGAAUCACAACUAGCAUCAGUUGAGCAGAGACAAGACGCAUUACGAAUCCAUACACUCAAUAUAUCCUCAUUGAAGCGAAUGCUCAGCACUGCACCACAAACAUUAUCUCCAUAGUCAAGUUGAUCACCAACCAGGGCAAGAAACUGCAAAUGUAAGAAGAUACUUCGCUGUUGGUUCCUGAAGAUAUUACCAGCAUCAAACUUGGUGAUAUUAUCCCUGUCGAUGCUCGUUUACUCCAAGGACUGAAAAUCGAUCAGUCAUCUCUUACAGGAGAGUCACUCCCGGUUACUAAAAAUCCCCCUGACUGAGUUUACUCGGGUUCAACAUGCAAACAAGGUGAAAUCGAAUCAGUAGUUAUCGCAACCGGCGUGCAUACUUUCUUUGGGAAAGCAGCACAUCUUGUGGAAACACAACACAU